AUAUUUCUGUUUUCGCUGAUAUUACGCACCACGUGUUCAUAUUACGCACCAC
RNAcentral lists this non-coding RNA (52 nucleotides) under Geobacter sulfurreducens KN400. The record is from RNAcentral. Lineage: Bacteria; Pseudomonadati; Thermodesulfobacteriota; Desulfuromonadia; Geobacterales; Geobacteraceae.